RNAcentral lists this long non-coding RNA (1107 nucleotides) under Brassica napus (rape). Its description in RNAcentral is "long non-coding RNA (BNAP_LNC025503)". Lineage: Eukaryota; Viridiplantae; Streptophyta; Magnoliopsida; Brassicales; Brassicaceae. The record is from RNAcentral.
GCCUUGGUCCACCUUGAAGCUCUGCCUCUCUAAAAGAUGAAAUAUAGACAGGGCUAUGCUCUCCAAAUGUAUCGAGCUUCUGAGAGCUAAGCAAAAAAUUCUUGUUGAUGGAGCGGUAGAAAUUGAGGAAUGGCACACCUAACCAGCUUACAGAAUCUUCUGAGCUCUCAUAAUCUUUACUCGGUAGAGCAGGUGAAACUGGAUACGCCACCUUGAAUUCGUUUUGCUGUUCUGGGAGAUCUAUUGGAGGGAAAGUUGAAGAGUUUGAAGGAGGAAGCAAGAUCUUAGUAUUGGUUGGAAUCUCCCCUGAUGUCUGACGCUCGCCUAUCCAUGCUGCAUCAAGAGUAGCUGAUAGAUUUUUCAUAACUAUCUCGCCAUCAGACUGUGUCUUGCGAACAUCCAAAUAGUAGAGAAGCGCGACUGUUGCAUUGACACCAGUGCAGCUUUUUGCAUAAAUGUAAUAGAAUGUACCAAAUAGGAGGCUGGCUUCUAAUUUUCUUUUAAUCGCAACUCUAAUUCCUUAAUCUUCAGUCUUCUAUUUUUGUUGGUGUAGCUCAUAUUGUUGCUUUGACAUUUAAAUCACUCUGAAAAAAAACUUCGCAGACCAGAGAGAGGGAUGCGAAACGAACCCAUUAAUGGAGGUUUAAGAGGGGUUUGAGUCUUAUAUAGAGAUUCCCCUUCUAGAGAUAUUUGGCGUUGAUACUCAGGUGACGUCAAGGCGUAUGCGAUCAUACUUGUGGGUUCAUCAUCAUACACCGGAACAACAAUAUCAUUGAUGCCUACGGGAAGAAGUAGCCUUGGUCCACCUUGAAGCUCUGCCUCUCUAAAAGAUGAAAUAUAGAUAUGGCUAUGCUCUCCAAAUGUAUCGAGUUUCUGAGAGCUAAGGAGAAAAUUCUUGUUGAUGGAGCGGUAGAAAUUGAGGAAUGGCACACCUAACCAGCUUACAGAAUCUUCUGAGCUCUCAUAAUCUUUACUCGGUAGAGCAGGUGAAACUGGAUACGCCACCUUGAAUUCGUUUUGCUGUUCUGGGAGAUCUAUUGGAGGGAAAGUUGAAGAGUUUGAAGGAGGAAGCAAGAUCUUAGUAUUGGUUGGAAUCUCCCCUGAUGU